AUGAAAGACUAUGUGACUACUUGUCAGGAACUAAUUUUUAUUUCAAACAGGAGAUUCUGCCUGGCCCUUUCUGAACUGAGCUUAUUGGAUUUAGCCAAGCCUUCUAAGAUUAUACAUGAAACCACUGGACCAAACUUUACUUGGACAGACACAUUGAAGGGAUCUAUGGAACAUGAGAAUUUUCAAUCAGAUUGGGUAUUAGGACAAUCAGAGACCCCAACUUCUGGGAGCCAGAGGAAGCCUGUACACCACAUAUCUGUUUCAGAUCUCAGCCUCUAAGUAUUCAGGACAACUAAUAUCUACUCCAAAAGCAAUGCGAUGAUCCAGGACAAUUCAGAGGGACGUAUUUGAAAGAAUGCUCUCCACAUCCAGAGAAAGGUUUGUGGGAAUAGAAACACCAAAGAAAAACAAAUGACUGAUCACAUGGGUUGAUGGGGAUGUGAUUGGGGAUGUAGACUCUAAAUGAUCACCCUAGGGCAAACAUCAAUAAUAUGGAAAUAGGUCUUGAUCAAUGACACAUGUAAAACCCAGUGGAAUUUCUCGUUGGCUUCGGGAGGGGGGUGUAGGCAUGGGUGGGAAAGAACAUGAAUCAUACAAUCAUGGA
This 604-nucleotide long non-coding RNA is filed under the name Monodelphis domestica (gray short-tailed opossum). RNAcentral's name for it is "lncRNA (ENSMODG00000034322.2)". Lineage: Eukaryota; Metazoa; Chordata; Mammalia; Didelphimorphia; Didelphidae. The record is from RNAcentral.